Molecule: long non-coding RNA, 2607 nt
Organism: Pelmatolapia mariae (spotted tilapia)
Lineage: Eukaryota; Metazoa; Chordata; Actinopteri; Cichliformes; Cichlidae
Exons: 3
Source: RefSeq, a predicted model, not a curated record
CCAGCUUCAGUGACCGCGAUGUGUCCAGUUGUGCAGGUGGAGAACUAAUUCACUAAAUAUGGUGGAUAUAAGUGAUUUUCUGCGUGGCCGAGGGGUCCCCGAAGAUGCUAUUUCAUUAAUGGAAGAGCAGAAGAUUGACUGUGACGUCAUAGCACUGAUGGAUGACGCAACUUUGGCGAACUACAUUCCCUCGUACGGAGACCAAAUUGCCCUCUUCAAUUUCUGCAAAAGCAAGCAACCACUGUCAAAAAGAAAACUAGGACUUCUGCAAAAAGUUCACCUCUCAAAGUGAGAGAAACAGUGGCUGACAUGUCAGAUUUGGAUGACUUAAUAAGACUGUAUUUCAGACUUUCUUUCAGUAACAAAGAAAUACUUUCAAUUUUAGCACAUAGUCAUCAGACAAUUAUAAGUGUUCGAACUCUAAAGAGAAUUUGUAAAAGACUUGGGCUUUUUAGAAGGAAGAAUCAAUCAAACUUGGAGGAAGUGCUAGCCUUUGUCCAACAAGAGAUCAUGACAAAUGGACAGAUGCAAGGUUAUCGUUGGCUUCAUCUUCGUGCAAUUCAGCAUGGAUUUGUGGUGUCACAAGAUACUGUAAGAUGCAUAAUCAAAUUGGUUGACCCUCAAGGUGUGGAACUGAGACGAGCUCGACGGUUGAGAAGACGUCAGUACAGCUGCAGAGGGCCAAAUGCUCUCUGGCACAUGGAUGGCUAUGACAAGUUGAAACCAUGUGGUAUUGCUAUCAGUGGCUGCAUAGAUGGUUUUAGCCGCUAUGUUUUAUGGAUGGAGGCUUAUACCACAAACAAUGACCCUAAAUUGAUUGCAAGUUAUUUUCUGAAAACAGUUUCAUGCAUCAAUGGAUGUCCAGAGAGAUUACGUGCUGACCGAGGUACAGAAAAUGGUUGUGUCGAACAAAUGCCGAUGUUUUUACGGAGAAACCACACAGACAGUUUUGCAGGUGAGAAAAGUUUCCUUUAUGGAAGAAGUACGGCCAACCAACGUAUAGAAGGAUGGUGGGCUACCCUACGCAAACAGAGUGCACAAUUUUGGAUGAACUUAUUUCAAACUUUUCAGGAUGAUGGCCACUUCACAGAGGAUUUUUUGGACAAAAGUCUUAUCCAAUUAUGCUUUCUCAAUCUUAUUCAGGAUGAACUUGAUGAAGUUGUGAACACAUGGAACUCGCACAAAAUCCGGCCAAGUGGUAGUGCAGCAUCGGGUCGACCAGUAGUAAUGUACUCAUUUCCAGAGCUGCACAGUGCUGAGGAUAGACUGAAACCUAUUUCUAUGGAGGAUAUCACUUUGUGUAUGGAAAAGUGUAGCCCAAAAGGUCAAUACCCCUGUGAUGAAACAGUCUUUGAACUGUGUUGUCUGCUUAUGGUAGAAAAUGAAUGGGAUGCCCCAGGAGAUCCACUUGGUGCUGCGGAUCUGUAUAUUAGGUUAAGAGAAGAAAUACUGCAAAGUAUUUAAGAAACUUCAGUGUGUAAAUGUACAAAUAAAUAUAAAAUAUUUCUCUUUAUCUUGAUAACGUGAUUUGAUAGUAGGUGCCAUGUCUUACAGGUACCUUUUAUGCAGGUAUUUCUGCACUGCAUUAAAUGAAAGACAUCUUUUAGGUGUGACCGAACAUGCCAUUUUUCAGGUCAUUCUGUGAGAAUAUUUCUGUUUAUUACUACUGUAAUGUAAAUUCAGAGUGCUGAUAGGAGGUCAGCACCAACUAGUAUCAUUUUAUGUUGAUCAUAGUAAUAAAUACAGUUUGGUUGGUAUCUUUUUCCCCCCAAGUUUGAUUGUUUUUCUACAUUCACACUACCAUUAAACAGAAAUGUUUAUAUAUUGCUUGAAAAAGCUGAAUAUUGUGAUAUUAUCAAUCAGUUAUGAAACACAUGUCAAUCCUUAAAAGGCCAUACAUUAAACUGCAUUUACAAAUGUUAUAUUUUUGAUUGAAUCAUAAGUGGUGUAAACCUGCCUACCAGUAAAUUGCAAUAUAAAUUUCUGUGUUUUGUUGCCAGACAUGUGCAUAGUAUAUAAAAUAUAAACUGACCAGCUCUCUGUUCAUUGUUUUCUGUAUCAACCUUUACUCUUAAUAUUCAUGGCUGGAAACCAAGGCACCAGCAUGUGAUAUGCUAGGUGCCCAGGUUAUCUGUGGUAUGUUUCAGCAAACCAUAGUAGCAUUAACAUUUCUAGGUCUUGACAACAGAACGUUUCUAUAAACGUAUCAUUGUUAAUAUUUCAAGUCGUUAUGCCUUUUGGGGAGCUUUUAGUGCAAUUAUAUUAAAGCAAAGCUAUUAUAAUCAUUUACACAUAUGAAGAUCCAUCACCUAAUUAUUAUUGUAUUUCACUUCUGUUAGUUGUAAGAUAUUUUAGCUGGUUUUCAUGUAAAAUGACCAUGAGUCAUUGCUAUACUGAUGCAGUGUAAGCUGUCGUAUACAAGGCUCCUUUAUGAUAUGAAUCCUAAAAUUAUAAGAAACAUACCAAAAAUAUUUUGACUUUUAUUUGUAGUAUCCCAGCAACAAUGCAACAAAACAGUUCCUGCAAGUGGAACCAAGUUAUUGUCCCAUUAAGUGCAACAUGUUUUACAUUUAUAUUUGUGUAUCUUUAUGAAAUGUUUGAAAUUAA